Molecule: ribosomal RNA, 450 nt
Filed under: uncultured bacterium
Lineage: Bacteria
Description: partial 16S ribosomal RNA
Rfam family: Bacterial small subunit ribosomal RNA
Source: RNAcentral
GUGGGGAAUUUUGGACAAUGGGGGCAACCCUGAUCCAGCCAUGCCGCGUGCGGGAAGAAGGCCUUCGGGUUGUAAACCGCUUUUGUCAGGGAAGGAAUCCUUUGGGUUAAUACCUCGGAGGGAUGACGGUACCUGAAGAAUAAGCACCGGCUAACUACGUGCCAGCAGCCGCGGUAAUACGUAGGGUGCGAGCGUUAAUCGGAAUUACUGGGCGUAAAGCGUGCGCAGGCGGUUUUGUAAGAUCGAUGUGAAAUCCCCGGGCUCAACCUGGGAACUGCAUUGGUGACUGCAAGGCUGGAGGGCGGCAGAGGGGGAUGGAAUUCCGCGUGUAGCAGUGAAAUGCGUAGAUAUGCGGAGGAACACCGAUGGCGAAGGCAAUCCCCUGGGCCUGCACUGACGCUCAUGCACGAAAGCGUGGGGAGCAAACAGGAUUAGAAACCCCGGUAGUCC